AGAGCAAUAGUUUAUAAAAACACUUAAUUUGCAAUUAAGAAUUGAUGAAAAUCUUGUUUUA
RNAcentral lists this transfer RNA (61 nucleotides) under Aleurochiton aceris. RNAcentral's name for it is "tRNA-Ala". The record is from RNAcentral. Lineage: Eukaryota; Metazoa; Arthropoda; Insecta; Hemiptera; Aleyrodidae.